AUGAACGCUGGCGGCGUGCCUAAUACAUGCAAGUCGAGCGAACAGACGAGGAGCUUGCUCCUCUGACGUUAGCGGCGGACGGGUGAGUAACACGUGGAUAACCUACCUAUAAGACUGGGAUAACUUCGGGAAACCGGAGCUAAUACCGGAUAAUAUAUUGAACCGCAUGGUUCAAUAGUGAAAGACGGUUUUGCUGUCACUUAUAGAUGGAUCCGCGCCGCAUUAGCUAGUUGGUAAGGUAACGGCUUACCAAGGCAACGAUGCGUAGCCGACCUGAGAGGGUGAUCGGCCACACUGGAACUGAGACACGGUCCAGACUCCUACGGGAGGCAGCAGUAGGGAAUCAUCCGCAAUGGGCGAAAGCCUGACGGAGCAACGCCGCGUGAGUGAUGAAGGUCUUCGGAUCGUAAAACUCUGUUAUUAGGGAAGAACAAAUGUGUAAGUAACUAUGCACGUCUUGACGGUACCUAAUCAGAAAGCCACGGCUAACUACGUG
RNAcentral lists this ribosomal RNA (496 nucleotides) under uncultured bacterium. RNAcentral describes it as "partial 16S ribosomal RNA". It matches the Rfam family "Bacterial small subunit ribosomal RNA", at positions 29 to 507 of the family's 1533-position model. The record is from RNAcentral.